UAGGGAAUCUUCGGCAAUGGACGAAAGUCUGACCGAGCAACGCCGCGUGAGUGAAGAAGGGUUUCGGCUCGUAAAACUCUGUUGGUAGAGAAGAACGUUGGUGAGAGUGGAAAGCUCAUCAAGUGACGGUAACUACCCAGAAAGGGACGGCUAACUACGUGCCAG
Molecule: ribosomal RNA, 165 nt
Filed under: uncultured bacterium
Lineage: Bacteria
Description: partial 16S ribosomal RNA
Rfam family: Bacterial small subunit ribosomal RNA
Source: RNAcentral